CCUCCCCCUCGUGGCAGCGUCGUGGGCCGUGGCCGCAGAUCCGUGGAGCCGCCGCCGCUACGGUCAGCGCUGCGGAGCCGCCGACGCCCCUAUUCCCUCCAUGGCCACGGAUCCAAUGGCGUCAGCUUCCUGGCGGUGCAGCGCUCGUCCUCCACUCCAAUGGCGACCUCCUGCCUCCUGGUUUUCUUCUGCCUCGCCGCCACCGUCGUGGUGGCGGCUCGCCAGAGAAGACGCCCUCUGCUUGCCCCACAGCGCAGGCCGAGCGGCUCAGCCGCGCGCUCAACCUCCUGCCCAGGGAGGCAGGGCCGGUCUGGUCCCGUGAUGGCCCCCCACCGUGGCGCUUGGGGAGCUCCAGGAGCGGCGGGUGAGUAUGCCCGACGCGCCAGACGAGGUCCACGACCUCGGCCACCACGCAGCUUACUUCCCCCUGCCACACACAGGAACGACGCCAGGUGCUGCUGCAGGGUGUUCUACUUCUUCAAAUCGAGGGGCAAGAAGGAGGACCCAGUGUAGAUCUCAACCUACUGGAACUGGCUUUAGCUACACCUCUGAUGAUCGCGAUACUUGUCAUGAUGAGACUGGUGUCAGCAAUGACCUACAGGACUUUCUCUAGGAGAAAGGAGUGCAGCCACUUCACUUGCUGACAAAAUGAUCGAGUCUCUGAAUCUCCAGUCUGUUCGGGUUAAUCUUCCUCGAGUUUUGCCUUAGAAGAUUUUUGCAGCAGCAUCGUUGGACUCUUAUUGUUACAUAUUACAUGAUGUCGAUACAAUUUUUACAUUGAUCGGUUAUCUAAGCUCAUCAUGGACCAAGAGCUUGUUGAGAGGCAGCUAGAUGUGAUCAAGGUUCAUCAUUCUCCGGGGUUCUUCAGGAUUCUACACUUAUGGAAUCUGUGAGCAUUAGGAAGGAUGGCAUGAUUUUGGCUUGGGUUAGACGAGGGUGGCUUUCAAGCUCUGGAAAGACAAAUUGGCCUAGCUAUCUGAACUUUUUCAUGUUCAUUGAAUAUCUGAUUGUUUGCUGUCCAUUGAAGCCAUCUAUGAUUUGGUGCAAUUUCAGGUUUCAUUACAUGGUAUUGGCUGACGACGGGCAGAGAAUUAUGCCAAUGCCCAAAGACGGAAUGCCUCCCCAAGGUCAGCCAUUAGCAUACCCUGAGGCUGUGCUCCUUAUGGACCCAAUCAAUCCUGAUCUGAGAGGGGAGAUUAAGAGCAGUUGAGGAUAGUAUCAUCGUGCAGUUUUUCAGAAAACAAGCUCCCAACAAGCAUGAGUCUGGAAAGCAGCACUGCAGCAGGAGCUUCAGAUGUAGGUUAGUAAAUACUAUUAACUGGGUGGAUCAUGAGCGCAUCUUCACAAGCUGAUUCUACACAAGAUCCUUCACUAACUGAGCCCCUUCCUUUUGGUUGUGUUCCUAUAUAGCUAUUUUUUUAUAGAGUGAGUUUAUGACUUCUCUUGUUUGUGAAUAUUGAAAAGGAUGUACUCCCUCCGUCCCAAAAUACAAGUCACCCUAGAAAUUUUAGGACAAAUUAUCCGUAAGGGAAAAUGACUAUGUUUUCCCCUA
Molecule: RNA transcript, 1552 nt
Organism: Panicum virgatum (switchgrass)
Lineage: Eukaryota; Viridiplantae; Streptophyta; Magnoliopsida; Poales; Poaceae
Exons: 8
Source: RefSeq, a predicted model, not a curated record